CAGCCUCGAAUCCUCUUCCUCAUAGAGAAGUACCCGCUUCUUCCUUCGUUGAAGUUGGUGGCGCUAGUCUUCAUUUCCAUUGGAAUUGAUCCCCGUCGAUAGUUGAUCUAGGCCCGUAUAACAGUCAACGGACCUCCACGACAGUCUUUAGUCACCUCUGCUCCUGCAGUACUGACUAACCAACUGUCAUCGAUGGUGAUCGUCGUAUUGGAACGUGCGGCAAUGCAGCGUCGAUUGGUAUACAGGCCUCU
This is a long non-coding RNA of Cotesia glomerata, 251 nucleotides long. RefSeq lists it as uncharacterized. The record is from RefSeq and is a predicted model, not a curated record. The transcript has 3 exons. NCBI's taxonomy places the organism in Eukaryota, Metazoa, Arthropoda, Insecta, Hymenoptera, Braconidae.